UACGGAGGGUGCAAGCGUUAUCCGGAUUCACUGGGUUUAAAGGGUGCGUAGGUGGGCAAGUAAGUCAGUGGUGAAAUCUCCGGGCUUAACCCGGAAACUGCCAUUGAUACUAUUUGUCUUGAAUACUCUGGAGGUCAGCGGAAUAUGUCAUGUAGCGGUGAAAUGCUUAGAUAUGACAUAGAACACCAAUUGCGAAGGCAGCUGGCUACACAAAUAUUGACACUGAGGCACGAAAGCGUGGGGAUCAAACAGG
RNAcentral lists this ribosomal RNA (253 nucleotides) under uncultured bacterium. Its description in RNAcentral is "partial 16S ribosomal RNA". It matches the Rfam family "Bacterial small subunit ribosomal RNA", at positions 524 to 776 of the family's 1533-position model. The record is from RNAcentral.